UCGAUCCUGCCGGACCCGACUGCUAUCAGAGUGGGACUAAGCCAUGCGAGUUAACGCAGCAAUGCGUGGCACACGGCUCAGUAACACGUAGUCAACAUGCCCAGGGGACGUGGAUAACCUCGGGAAACUGAGGAUAAACCGCGAUAGGCCAAGGUUUCUGGAAUGGACACUGGCUGAAACCUAUAUGGCCCCUGGAUUGGACUGCGGCCGAUCAGGCUGUUGGUGAGGUAAUGGCCCACCAAACCUGUAACCGGUACGGGCUUUGAGAGAAGGAGCCCGGAGAUGGGCACUGAGACAAGGGCCCAGGCCCUAUGGGGCGCAGCAGGCGCGAAAAUUCUGCAAUAGGCGAAAGCUUGACAGAGUUACUCUGAGUGAUGCCCGCUAAGGGCAUCUUUUGGCACCUCUAAAAAUGGUGCAGAAUAAGGGGUGGGCAAGUCUGGCGUCAGCCGCCGCGGUAAUACCAGCACCCCGAGUGGUCGGGACGAUUAUUGGGCCUAAAGCAUCCGUAGCUUGUUCUGCAAGUCUUCCGUUAAAUCCACCUGCUCAACAGAUGGGCUGCGGGAGAUACUACAGGGCUAGGAGGCGGGAGAGGCAAGCGGUACUCAGUGGGUAGGGGUAAAAUCCUCUGAUCCACUGAAGACCACCAGUGGCGAAGGCGGCUUGCCAGAACGCGCUCGACGGUGAGGGAUGAAAGCUGGGGGAGCAAACCGGAUUAGAUACC
RNAcentral lists this ribosomal RNA (721 nucleotides) under uncultured Nitrososphaerota archaeon. Its description in RNAcentral is "bacterial SSU rRNA". It matches the Rfam family "Archaeal small subunit ribosomal RNA", at positions 8 to 737 of the family's 1478-position model. Lineage: Archaea; Thermoproteati; Nitrososphaerota. The record is from RNAcentral.